GACAGAGGGUGCUAGCGUUGUCCGGAAUUACUGGGCGUAAAGAGCUCGUAGGUGGUUUGUCGCGUUGUUCGUGAAAACUCACAGCUCAACUGUGGGCGUGCGGGCGAUACGGGCAGACUGGAGUACUGCAGGGGAGACUGGAAUUCCUGGUGUAGCGGUGGAAUGCGCAGAUAUCAGGAGGAACACCGGUGGCGAAGGCGGGUCUCUGGGCAGUAACUGACGCUGAGGAGCGAAAGCGUGGGGAGCGAACAGG
This 253-nucleotide ribosomal RNA is filed under the name uncultured bacterium. Its description in RNAcentral is "partial 16S ribosomal RNA". It matches the Rfam family "Bacterial small subunit ribosomal RNA", at positions 524 to 776 of the family's 1533-position model. The record is from RNAcentral.